RNAcentral lists this ribosomal RNA (268 nucleotides) under uncultured bacterium. RNAcentral's name for it is "partial 16S ribosomal RNA". It matches the Rfam family "Bacterial small subunit ribosomal RNA", at positions 28 to 311 of the family's 1533-position model. The record is from RNAcentral.
GACGAACGCUGGCGGCAGGCUUAACACAUGCAAGUCGAACGCUCGUAGCGAUACGAGAGUGGCAGACGGGUGAGUAACACGUGGGAACAUACCCUUUGGUUCGGAACAACGCGUGGAAACGCGCGCUAAUACCGGAUAAGCCUCUGGAGUGAGUCCGGGGGGAAAGAUUGAUUGCCGAAGGAUUGGCCCGCGUCCGAUUAGCUUGUUGGUGAGGUAACGGCUCACCAAGGCAUCGANCGGUAGCUGGUCUGAGAGGAUGGCCAGCCAC